UUAUCUAACAGAUUCCACACCAAAAGAAUCAAGUAAGACUCGGAAGAACAAAGCUGACUCAGAGGGGUUGCAGGAGGGAAAUAGCCUCUAACAAUAAAUUCAAAGAUAAAUGUCAUAGAAAAAAUCAUGGUAGAAAAGCUGACAUUUGCAGCCACUGUCUGUUAGCCAUAACAGACAUAGUAACAUGAUAGAUGUCAUAACUUGGAUUCAUUCAGUCCUUCCAGUUCUGCAAGGAAGAUGUUCUGAAUCCCUGUUUAUAGGCAAGUUAUAUGAGAUACAAAGAGAAUGAAAGAUAAAAGAAGACAAAACACCCAUAAGGUCGCAUGGCCUGGAAAUGGAGGGGCCUGGAUUGGAAUCUGUCUCUAAAUUCUAUGCUCUUGGCAUGAGAGGUGCGGUGAAGUGGAAGAAGAUGAUGUCAAUGCUUCAGGGAAAUUUAUUUUGUUUUCAUCAUUUUUGAGAGAACAGAUCUCCACAAGGGAUGCAGCCUUGAUGUGUUUCACUGGAUUGUAUCCCCAGCGCCUGAAACAGCCAGUUGCUACGAUAUAUGCCCUAUUUGACAGAGCUUUGGUCCAGUGAGCAUCAUCAUGAACAUCAUCAUAUCUUCAAGGUGUCAAGAACAUAACCACCAUUGGCUCAUGUGAGUGGCAAGUCACACUAAUUGCAAGAGCUUCAGGCGUGGCUGGAUCCAGGAGCUCCAGCUAUAUACUUGGGCCAGGAGAGGACUGGAUAGGAAGCCUGGCUGGUGAAUGAUGCUUCUCAGGCAAGACUGAGACAAAUUUGGAGGCUCCUGUGUUGGUGCCCUGUAGCCUGGAGCCAAGCCACCGCAGACCUGGCUCCCCUUCACUUCAGGACUGCUGCAGAAAGCACUGGGUAUUUUUCCACUGGAGGAAGGCUUAGAGUGUAUGUGGUGAUAAAACUCCUCCUUGAAGAUGACUCAGCUGUUCUGAUCUUCUGCCAAAGUCCUAUUCAAGAGAGUUGAAGGAGGCUCCAGACAGGGAAGGUAGACUGCCUGCAGCGGGAAAGUUCUCUGCUAGGAGUGGAAUUGCAGGAUUGUAUCCAAUUUAAAAAGUGGGCAGAGGACCUGAAGAGUAUUUUUCCAAAGAAGACGUGCAGAGAACCAUGCAUGUGCAGCCACAUGAAAAGACGCUCAACCUCAUGAAUCAUCAGGGGAAGCAAAUCAAAACCAUAAUGUGACAUCAUCUCAUACCUGUCAGGAUAGUUAUUGUGGAAAAAAAAGAAACAAGAAAUAACAAGAAUGGCAAGGAUGUGGGAAAAAAGGGAACCUUAGAACAGUGUUGGUGGGAAUGUAAAUUAGUAUAGACACUAUGGAAAACAGUAUGAAGGUUCCCCCAAAAUUAAACAUAGAUCUAUCUAAGUCUUAGGUUAAAGAGGACCCAAACUGGUAGUUAUUAUAAGACCUAAAGGAGAUAAUACACAGAAAUUAAGGUCUAGUGCCUAGCAUGUAGUAAGUUUUCAAUAAAUGUCAGUUGUUGCUUUCACAAAGAAUGUUUUACGGUUGGUAAUAGUUAUUUGUGUCUCAGAAUUUGACCAAUAUAGACCAAUGAAUACAGCCAUUGAGUAUGGGCAUUUAACACAUCCAAUUAAUG
Long non-coding RNA from Bos taurus (domestic cattle), 1607 nucleotides. The record is from Ensembl. Lineage: Eukaryota; Metazoa; Chordata; Mammalia; Artiodactyla; Bovidae.